UCUUUUUAGGGCCGCACCUGCAGGGGUCCAAUUGGAGCUGUUGCUGCCAGCCUACUCCAGAGCCACAGCAACACCUGAUCCGAGCCAUGUCUGCAACCUACACCACAGCUCACCGCAACACCGGACCCUUAACCCACUGAGCGAACCUGGGGAUCGAACCUCAUGGUUGCUAGUCGGAUUCAUUUCUGCUGCGCCAAGACGGGAAAUCCAAUAUAUAUUGAUUUUAAACAAACAAAAAAAAAAUAAAAAUAUUUACCACACAGUCCCACUCCUGGGCAUAUACGUGGAGAAAACUCUAAUUCGAAAAGAUACAUGCAGGAGCUCCUGUUGUGGCUCAGUGGGUUAAGAACCUGACACAGUGUCUGUGAGGAUGCUGGUUCCAUUCCUGGCCUUCCUCCCUGUGUUUCAGCAAGCUGUAGGAUAGGUCACAGAUGCAGCUCAAAUCACAGUGUUACUGUGGCUGUGGUGUAGGCUACAACUACAGCUCUUUUUCCACCCCUAGCCCUGGAACUUCCAUAUGCUGCAGGUGAAGCUGUAAAAAGAAAAAAAGAAGAGUUCAUCCAUGAGCUCAGAUUUCCCACAUUACAACUUCAGGAUGCCUAAUAUUGGAUUCCAGAAUCUACCACUCAACAUAUAUAUUGUGGUUUUUGGCACUGCUAUAUUUGUCUUCAUCCUUAGUUUACUCUUCUGUUGCUACUUGAUUAGGCUAAGACAUCAAGCACACAAAGAAUUUUAUGCCUACAAACAGGUUAUAUUAAAAGAGAAAGUAAAAGAACUGAAUUUACAUGAGCUCUGUGCAGUGUGUCUAGAAGACUUCAAGCCUCGAGAUGAGUUGGGGAUAUGUCCAUGUAAGCAUGCCUUCCACAGAAAGUGCCUUAUUAAGUGGCUGGAGGUUCGCAAAGUAUGUCCACUGUGCAACAUGCCAGUACUUCAGCUGGCCCAGUUGCACAGUAAGGAGGACCGUGGACCCCCACAGGGGCCCCUCCCUGGGGCAGAGAACAUUGUAUAGCUCACCACAAGAAUCAAACUGUUGCAGGAUCCAACAUCUGCAUGGAGCCAGGAGGAACACAAGCGGUCUCUGUGUUGGCUGCUCUGCCUGGGGCAUCAGCUGCCACUUCCUUUUUCUCAUAAAGAACUCUUGGGCUAGCUAAUCUGGGGACCCAGACUUGUGGGUCUGGGACAACCAAAGUACUCUGACACUACCCCAUGCCAAGAGAAGAGGAGUGGAUGAGCCUGCUGGUUUGGUUCUAGAAACUUCAUGAGGGUCUCUUGCUAACUCCAUACACUCUGUCUCCCAGACAUUGAUCUCCAUGUCAAGGUGAAUCUUUAUCAACCAGAAGGGAAGAUAAUCACAAGUGUUAGAGAAGGAAACUGAGGGAAAGUCUUUAAAGCCACCCCCACCCUGGGACAGAUGAGCUUCUAUGCAGACCGUGCAUGCCUUUGCAGCAGCAGACUCUCCCGGCAGCCCCUGAGCCAAGGGAAAACAGCGGUUACCUCAGCCCAAGAACAACUGGGUGCAGUGCCGGAGGCAGUGCCAACAAGGCUUUUCACGUUAUGUUCCUUUGAUAAGGCCAUCUUGGAACCCAAGGGCUUUGGUUACAACAGAACAGCAGUACCCCUCGCCGCCAGUUCUCCCUCGAGGUCACAACACUUGCUUAUCAGAUCAUCUAAGCUAAAAACAUUAGAUGUGCUUGGAAAGGUCUGGUCAGAAGCCAUUUCCUCUUAUUCCCCCUCCUACUCACCAAUGAGGCACAGCCAAGUGCCAUUAAGAGCCCCAGCAGGGGGUGGUUCUCUGAGUCCCUGCUGUCCCCGUGUGACCCAAACGCCUCGGGGUGCUGCCCACAUCCCCACACAUGCAGUAUGGCUCCAGCGUAGCUGCUGGUCUUGGCCCACUGCCUCUGUGGGGAGCUGCUCUGAGCCCCUCACAUGGCUCCAAAGAGGAGCAUCUUUCUGACAAUGACCAGUCCUCCAGGUCCUGCCAGGCUGAGGGGAGGAUGCGGCCCCCCUUGCCUCUCCCCAUCCUUCCCUCUUCUCCUCCCUCUCUAGUCCUGUCUCUAUUUCUACUCAGCAAAAUGCCUGUGGUUGACUUUUUAACAAUUUAAAGUAUCCCAAAUAAGAUCCCUAUGUCAUUCUGAAGCCAGGGAUCCACUUGAAAUUGUAAAUCUUUUCAGGAAGCUCCUGCAGGGCUAUUCGCCAUCAGUGCGUGCCUCAGUGUUCAGACUUGUGAUAAUUGAAAGUGUCUUUAUAGGAGAAAAAUGCAUGCUGCUCUUUGGCUCUUUCUGUCCAGUUUUCCUAGAAUUGACUCAAGAGUCCAGUAGGAUUUGUGACUGUUGUAUAAGUUAGCUCUGUGAAGCAGCUUUGGGUCAGAUAUAAAGUUCUUUUCCACAGCCCUGCUCACCACCUCCUUCCAUCAUAGGGAUGGAAUCCUCAUCGCCAGCUCUGCCUCUGCUCCAAACGCAGGUGUGAGUAGGGGAGUUUCACACUGGAAAUAGAGCCUGCAUGAUAUGGAGAGAGGGUGGAGGAGGCUUUGCUACUCUGUUCAUGGCAUGUCUCCAGAAAUUUUUUUGGAAUCCAGCCUCUACCGUCUUAGAAUGGGAGAGGGAACCUGUCCUUGGCUCAGGUGGCUGGGCUCAGUUGAGGAGGAAAAUUCCCAUUAGCCUAGAAAAUUGCUGGUCAGAAUCCAGUUUGGAAAAUUACAAAUCCAGUUGGUCAGAAUUGGCUGUACCCUUAUGUGUAACCUAUUCGUGGUAUGCCAACUGGACUGCUUCUUUAAACAGGGCAAGAGAAGUGUGGAAUAUUUUUAUAUGAAAGCCUUAGCCUGUUUGGCACCCAUGAAAAGAACUAUUUGUACACUCCUACUUUCACCCUCUGUUUCUGCAUUCUCUGUUUGUAGCACAAUAGAGUUGAAUGCUGCAAAGCA
Molecule: long non-coding RNA, 2920 nt
Filed under: Sus scrofa (pig)
Lineage: Eukaryota; Metazoa; Chordata; Mammalia; Artiodactyla; Suidae
Description: lncRNA (ENSSSCG00005045318.1)
Source: RNAcentral